Long non-coding RNA from Homo sapiens (human), 2019 nucleotides. Ensembl annotates it as SCTR antisense RNA 1. Its record names the gene SCTR-AS1. The record is from Ensembl. NCBI's taxonomy places the organism in Eukaryota, Metazoa, Chordata, Mammalia, Primates, Hominidae.
UCGGCACAGGACCCCAGCUUCCAUCCUCACGUUGUGUGGACAUGGUCCAGCUUCCUGCCGCGGACCAUGAGCAAUCCAAGGGUAGGGGAGCCUCAAGAGGGAGACACUGAGCCUUUACGUAAUGAGGCAGGGAGGGGUUCAAGCAAUUAAUUGAGAAAGGAUGUGACAGGACUGGCACCUGGUCACUUUGUGGCCGUGAGCACCAGCUCCGCCUAUCCCCUCUGCAGGGCAGAAGGGACAGUGCUGCGGGAGGCGGAGGUGCUGUGGCUCUGGGAAGGCUGAAAAGGGACGGCUGCAAAGGAGAAGAGCUUCGAGUCCUUUCCAUCAGGAGAAAAACCCGGUCAGCUGUGGAGGAGCACUGCACAGGAGUCAGAAAGUGGAGUCUGGGCGUGACCUUGCACCUGACCAGCCUGGGGCUCUAGGUCCGCCACAUCUGGACUAAUCUCCUGUGUCCUGAGCUCCCAGGACCCCAGAGGCAAGCAUGGAGGGGCCACGCUGGCAGGUAAAGUUGAACCCACAGUGGCUUAGGACGAGCUCCUGCACAGCGGCCUGUUUCCCAAUUGCAUCGUGUAUCUCUUUGCCUCUCUUGGCUCAGCCAUGGCCCCAGCCCCAGGCCAUCCAAGGGGCAGCCUGGUGAGGUUUCUUCAACUUUGCUAAUGACUUGACCUACAGUCUUAAGUCAAGAAGGUGUCGCUCUCCUUUGUGAUGGCUGGACGCACAGGAGCUGUGGUCAGGAUGGGGCUAGAGGAGCUGAAAUCCCAGGGCAACAAGGGUAUUUAAAAACACAUCGCAGGAGAAACAGCUAAAGAGUCUUGGAACCAGGAAUCAUAAGCUGUUUGAUGGGAUGAACUAUCUUGGGAGUGAUGAGGUCCCCAUCACUGAAAGUAUUCAAGCAGAGAGAGUCAUGGAAUUAGGAGACGGAAGAGCAUCAGACACUGAAUGAAGUCUGCACUACAUGAGAUGAAGAACCCUUCCAGCCCUGAGGCCGAGCAGCCACUUCUCUGGAGCAGGCUGGCCCAUCUAUGUCCAGGAGGCCAGCCCCAGGCUAGCUUCUGAGCACGGGGAGCUAAGUCCUUCGCCUUCCAGAGACUGCACAAAGUGUGUGCCACCUCCACAGAACCCUCCUCAUCCACCCGAGAACUCUUCCUCACCUGACCUAAAGCUCUUCAUUUCAUACCACCUUUCAAGCGAAUUAAGGAUUAAUUGCCAGCAGCAAUCUCUGUCUUUGUUUGUUUUCUCUAAUGGAAAACCUUUCUCUCGGGAGGGUAAGGUUAUCAGUCAUUCACAGCUCAGUUGUGCUGUGUUUGAUUAGACUGGACGGCAAAGCUGAGUCCUGUUUCGGCUCUGUGCGAUCCUGGGCCCCUUGGAGCCUGUUUUCUCAUCUAUGAAAUGGGAGUAAUAAUAGUGCUUAUUGCACAGUUGUUUUAAGAACUAAAAAUUUAAAUUGCCUAGAAUGUUAUACAAACAUAAGCUGCCAUAUUUUGGAAAAAUGAGCCAAGAUCAGUGGUGCCAAGGGAAGAAUGGGCAGAGGUGAGCUGUGGGCAGCCGUGGAGGAUGGUCCACGGUGUGGCUGCCAGAGGGCAUCGGGGGCCAGGCAACUCCAGAAAGGAGCUAGGAAUGUUAGAGAAAACUGCACUAACAGCCAGCAUGCGUGAAGAACUGAUUCAUACUACACCGUGGAUGAACCUCAAGAACAUUAUUCUCGGCAAAAGCAGACAGACACAAAAGGUCACAUAGCAAAUGCUUCCGUUGAUAUGAAAUGUCCAGCACUGGCAAAUCCACAGAGACAGAAAGUAGAUUAGUAAUAGCCAGCGGCUGCAGACAGGGAAGGAGGGGAGUGAUGACUUAAUGGGUACAGGGAUUUUAUUUUGGGGUAAUGAAGAUAUUUUGGAAUGAGACAGAGCUGGUGGCUGCAUAGAGCACUAUGAAAGUGCUAAUUGCCAUUGAAUUAUUCACUUCAAAACAGUUAAUUUAACGCUAUGUGAAUUUCACCUCAAUAAAAAAGGUACAAAAUAAAAA